Molecule: long non-coding RNA, 2621 nt
Organism: Gallus gallus (chicken)
Lineage: Eukaryota; Metazoa; Chordata; Aves; Galliformes; Phasianidae
Source: Ensembl
UUUGCAUUACAAGUGUUCACCCGUGGUUACAAGGGGAGUAGUAUGUGCCUGUCCUCCACCCUCAUUUACUUCCCUGCUCUGUUUCAGUGGGACCAUCAGCCUUUAUUAGAGACUGGCCUCACAAAUGGCUUCCUGUACUUGUCUUUCUAACUGCAAGACUGUGUGUAGCUGCUGUGGCUAUGCAGUGAUUCAUCAAAUGAUUUCCAGAAGAAACUAUGACAUUAUCCUACAAUAACCGGCCUCUGUGUCACUCUUACUUGGGACAAAUUCUACAAACAGCUUUGUCUUGCUCCCAUGUCAGCAUUUCUCUGAGUUGUUUAUAACCCUGAAGCCUGGGCUGUGUGUCCUGUCUCCUACCAUGCCAUCCAUGCUUGUACUUCUGCUUCUACAGUCACAGUGUACAAGUAUAAGUAAAAAUAAAACAGAAUAUAGCACCACUCACUAGAAAAGCAGAUGUUAUAUAAAAAAAAAAAAAUAAAAAAAAAAGUCCAGGCAAGCUGAUGCAAGUGACAUGAAGUAAACCUUGCAAACACUAAUCCUGAGGCUCUGAGAGUAAGUACACAACUACAGUCUGUUACUACCAAUGACGUUCCUGUGCAUACUGGGCUACUGGGGUAAAAAGUCCUAUGCAAACAUAAAUUACAAACCAUACCUGAUAGUAUUCAAGGUAAAAUCAAUUUCAAAGUUAACAAAGGAGACAGAAAACCUGGAAACACUGAACAACAGUGCUCAUGGACCAACCCUGGAGACCCUCAUGGAGAGAGUCGAACUACUGGCAAUUGGGAAUAUGAUGAUUUACUGUGAUGCCCUGCUGUACUUUUAUAACUAUUGUAUUCCGAUUCAUAUUGUAAUGGCACUGAGUAUAAAUUCUAGACAUCUCACAUAAAGUAUGUUCUUUUCAUGCAUUUAAUGAUGUUUUGAGUGCAACACUCAUUUUUUCAAACAAGAAAAAGAAAAUAUUGAUCAUUUAUUUGACUGGAUUUUUUCAGUGAUUAUUCUAUCAUUUUUAGUGCUUACUACAUCAAAAACCUUUUGCAGCAUCUUUCUAAGUCUGCAAUAAUAAGUAAGAUUUAAUCAUAAUCUACUACUUCCAAGUAAGAAUUAGUAUUCAUCAGCUGUUGGGACCUAGUUUUUGACACUUUGAAUUCAACCAUCUAGAGAACACAACCAAUCUCUGAAUUCAGCUCUGUAUUUGUGCUCUGUCUUAUUAUAAACUAAGUUGAAUUAUAUAUUUUAUAUGUAUCCUACUGUACAGUGUGGAAGUCAGAAAUGAUGCCUUCUUAAGGAAUUAUUUUCAGUUGAUUUUGUCAUGUUUGCCUUCAUAAGAAGAAAUAUAAUCAGCAAAUUAAUUGAGAGAUGUCCAAAAUAAAAUAUUUUUAAAUUUGUGCAUUGUCUGAUUACACCUUGAAAGUCUAAAGCAAGGAAGAUCAAAUACAAACACCAGAGGCCACAGAAUAACACUAGUAAGAGACAAUUACUACAUCAAGAGACAGCAUUGAUUAUUACAUUUGCCUUCACUUUUAUAAAUUAGUCUCCUUCAUUUUAUAUAUAUUUAUCUUACGUACAAAAAAGUGAAAUGGAAAAUUAAGAUUGAAUACAACUGUCUGUGGAGAAGGUUGGGCAGAGAGGUUGUAAACUUUUCCUCCAUGGAAGAUUUCUAGGCCAGGCCUGGGCUGUUUGAUCUGAUCCUGUGGCUGGUCCUGUCCUGCGAAUGAGGAUGUGCUGGAUAUCUCCAGAGGUCCUUUCCAGUCCCAGCAGGAAACAUACUGGAGCAAGGCAGGCUACUGGGCAAGAAGGGAAAACAGAUUUCAGUCUCUCUGUCAUCAUGUGGGCAGAUGCUUAUUGUGUGGUGGUUCUCUUUAGCCUAUACAUGAUAUAUCAGUUCAGUCUGUAACCUCCUUGAAACAUGGAAUGUGCCUGUUGCCAUUGCACAUCUCCUAGUUUGAUGGGACUAAGAAGCAGGGACUAUUACAAACCAAAUGAAUACAAUACAUUGUUAAGCAGAUAUUAAAUGACUAUUUGGGGAAUAAAUGUUUUUGCAUUGUGAUUCAUAGCAAAUUCUGCCUGUACAAAGUUGUGGUUAUUCCCUCCCAGUUGUAGGACUGUACAUUUGAUCUCGUUGAACCUCAUAAUGUUCCUCUCUACCCAACACUCACCUUGUCCAGGUCCCACUGAAUGGUAUCACAGCCUUCUGGCAUGUUGGACGUUCUUCCCAACUUUGCAUCAUCAGCAAAUUUGCUGAGGGUGCACUCUAUCUUUUCAUCCAGGUCAUUGAUGAAUAUUGUUGAUGUUGUAAUUCAUAAACAAUAUUAUACAUGUGACACAUACAAACUUCCCUCUUUUAGUUUGGAAACGGUUUGACUCUCGUUCAUGGACUGGUAUACUGGCUUUGUAUUCCUGCAGUGCCUGAUUGUUAUCAAAAGAUUUAGAUUGCUUUAUCUCUUAUUUCCACCUAUAUAAACCUUUAUGCUUCUUUUCUUUUUGUCUGCUGGCUGUUACACAGUGCUCAAUGAUGGUACUCUGGUAGGUUAUUUGAUGUAUAGCAGGUGGUUUGGUUUCCAGGUUGUACUUUUGAGUCUGCUUUUCAAUAGUUAUUCACCAUUAAAUGCAACUGAAUAAGA